ACAAUGGAGAGUUUGAUCCUGGCUCAGGAUGAACGCUAGCGGCAGGCCUAAUACAUGCAAGUCGAACGGUGUAGUAAUACACAGUGGCGCACGGGUGCGUAACACGUAUGCAACCUACCUAUUAUUGGGGGAUAGCCUUUGGAAACGGAGAUUAAUACCGCAUAAGACAGUGACAUGGCAUCAUGUAGCUGUUAAAGCUUCGGCGAUAAUAGAUGGGCAUGCGUCCAAUUAGUUAGUUGGUGAGGUAACGGCUCACCAAGACGAUGAUUGGUAGGGGAUCUGAGAGGAUAAUCCCCCACACUGGCACUGAGAUACGGGCC
RNAcentral lists this ribosomal RNA (320 nucleotides) under Flectobacillus longus. RNAcentral describes it as "bacterial SSU rRNA". It matches the Rfam family "Bacterial small subunit ribosomal RNA", at positions 1 to 332 of the family's 1533-position model. The record is from RNAcentral. Lineage: Bacteria; Pseudomonadati; Bacteroidota; Cytophagia; Cytophagales; Flectobacillaceae.